This 339-nucleotide unclassified non-coding RNA is filed under the name soil metagenome. RNAcentral's name for it is "partial contains 5.8S ribosomal RNA, internal transcribed spacer 2, and large subunit ribosomal RNA". The stretch from base 1 to 120 matches the Rfam family "5.8S ribosomal RNA", at positions 35 to 154 of the family's 154-position model. The record is from RNAcentral.
GAUGAAGAACGCAGCGAAAUGCGAUAACUAAUGUGAAUUGCAGAAUUCAGUGAAUCAUCGAGUCUUUGAACGCACAUUGCGCCCCCUGGUAUUCCGGGGGGCAUGCCUGUCCGAGCGUCAUUGCUGCCCUCAAGCACGGCUUGUGUGUUGGGCUCCGUCCCCCCGGGGACGGGCCCGAAAGGCAGCGGCGGCACCGAGUCCGGUCCUCGAGCGUAUGGGGCUUUGUCACCCGCUCUGUAGGCCCGGCCGGCGCCAGCCGACAACCCAUCAUCCUUUUCAGGUUGACCUCGGAUCAGGUAGGGAUACUCGCUGAACUUAAGCAUAUCAAUAAGCGGAGGA